CAAAAAUUAUAUAUAUAAAAAAAAGUGUCAGCCAUGACUAACCAGCUAUUUCAAAAAAGGAUAAAAAAAUAAUAAUAAUAAUAUCGCGUGAAUUUAAAAAUCGUACUCAAAGCAGAUCAUUUAACCAUUAACACACCAAAAAUCAUCAUUUCGGGCAUAAUUACUACACAUAAUAAGCAUUUAACAUGAAAUGAAAUCAGGAUCAGAAACAAGUAAACGAAGAGAAAACAAAAGCAAAAUUAGGGUUUUGAUAUUUUCAGGGAUAAAAGAGAUACAGAAAGCAGCUUUAUAUUAG
RNAcentral lists this unclassified non-coding RNA (295 nucleotides) under Hevea brasiliensis (rubber tree). The record is from RNAcentral. Lineage: Eukaryota; Viridiplantae; Streptophyta; Magnoliopsida; Malpighiales; Euphorbiaceae.